GACGAACGCUGGCGGCGUGCUUAACACAUGCAAGUCGAACGGAAAGGCCCUGCUUUUGUGGGGUGCUCGAGUGGCGAACGGGUGAGUAACACGUGAGUAACCUGCCCUUGACUUUGGGAUAACUUCAGGAAACUGGGGCUAAUACCGGAUAGGAGCUCCUGCUGCAUGGUGGGGGUUGGAAAGUUUCGGCGGUUGGGGAUGGACUCGCGGCUUAUCAGCUUGUUGGUGGGGUAGUGGCUUACCAAGGCUUUGACGGGUAGCCGGCCUGAGAGGGUGACCGGCCACAUUGGGACUGAGAUACGGACCAGACUCCAACGGGAGGCAGCAGUGGGAAAUAUUGCACAAUGGGAGGAAGCCGGAUGCAGAAACGCCGCGUGCGGGAUGACGGCCUUCGGGUUGUAAACCGCUUUAGCCUGUGACGAAGCGUGAGUGACGGUAAUGGGUAAAGAAGCACCGGCUAACUACGUG
This 468-nucleotide ribosomal RNA is filed under the name uncultured bacterium. Its description in RNAcentral is "partial 16S ribosomal RNA". It matches the Rfam family "Bacterial small subunit ribosomal RNA", at positions 28 to 507 of the family's 1533-position model. The record is from RNAcentral.